AUUGAACGCUGGCGGCAGGCCUAACACAUGCAAGUCGAGCGGUAGCACAGAGAGCUUGCUCUCGGGUGACGAGCGGCGGACGGGUGAGUAAUGUCUGGGAAACUGCCUGAUGGAGGGGGAUAACUACUGGAAACGGUAGCUAAUACCGCAUAACGUCGCAAGACCAAAGUGGGGGACCUUCGGGCCUCAUGCCAUCAGAUGUGCCCAGAUGGGAUUAGCUAGUAGGUGGGGUAACGGCUCACCUAGGCGACGAUCCCUAGCUGGUCUGAGAGGAUGACCAGCCACACUGGAACUGAGACACGGUCCAGACUCCUACGGGAGGCAGCAGUGGGGAAUAUUGCACAAUGGGCGCAAGCCUGAUGCAGCCAUGCCGCGUGUGUGAAGAAGGCCUUCGGGUUGUAAAGCACUUUCAGCGGGGAGGAAGGCGGUGAGGUUAAUAACCUCAUCGAUUGACGUUACCCGCAGAAGAAGCACCGGCUAACUCCGUGCCAGCAGCCGCGGUAAUACGGAGGGUGCAAGCGUUAAUCGGAAUUACUGGGCGUAAAGCGCACGCAGGCGGUCUGUCAAGUCGGAUGUGAAAUCCCCGGGCUCAACCUGGGAACUGCAUUCGAAACUGGCAGGCUAGAGUCUUGUAGAGGGGGGUAGAAUUCCAGGUGUAGCGGUGAAAUGCGUAGAGAUCUGGAGGAAUACCGGUGGCGAAGGCGGCCCCCUGGACAAAGACUGACGCUCAGGUGCGAAAGCGUGGGGAGCAAACAGGAUUAGAUACCCUGGUAGUCCACGCCGUAAACGAUGUCGAUUUGGAGGUUGUGCCCUUGAGGCGUGGCUUCCGGAGCUAACGCGUUAAAUCGACCGCCUGGGGAGUACGGCCGCAAGGUUAAAACUCAAAUGAAUUGACGGGGGCCCGCACAAGCGGUGGAGCAUGUGGUUUAAUUCGAUGCAACGCGAAGAACCUUACCUGGUCUUGACAUCCACAGAACUUAGCAGAGAUGCUUUGGUGCCUUCGGGAACUGUGAGACAGGUGCUGCAUGGCUGUCGUCAGCUCGUGUUGUGAAAUGUUGGGUUAAGUCCCGCAACGAGCGCAACCCUUAUCCUUUGUUGCCAGCGGUUAGGCCGGGAACUCAAAGGAGACUGCCAGUGAUAAACUGGAGGAAGGUGGGGAUGACGUCAAGUCAUCAUGGCCCUUACGACCAGGGCUACACACGUGCUACAAUGGCAUAUACAAAGAGAAGCGACCUCGCGAGAGCAAGCGGACCUCAUAAAGUACGUCGUAGUCCGGAUUGGAGUCUGCAACUCGACUCCAUGAAGUCGGAAUCGCUAGUAAUCGUAGAUCAGAAUGCUACGGUGAAUACGUUCCCGGGCCUUGUACACACCGCCCGUCACACCAUGGGAGUGGGUUGCAAAAGAAGUAGGUAGCUUAACCUUCGGGAGGGCGCUUACCACUUUGUGAUUCAUGACUGGGGUGA
This 1463-nucleotide ribosomal RNA is filed under the name uncultured Klebsiella sp. RNAcentral's name for it is "bacterial SSU rRNA". It matches the Rfam family "Bacterial small subunit ribosomal RNA". Lineage: Bacteria; Pseudomonadati; Pseudomonadota; Gammaproteobacteria; Enterobacterales; Enterobacteriaceae. The record is from RNAcentral.